CCCUAGCCCCGAUUGAAGCAAGUAUCCUUGCCAUCCUGUAAGGUGGGAAGAUACUGCGGAAAGCGGGAAAUAGC
This 74-nucleotide small RNA is filed under the name Flavobacterium fontis. Its description in RNAcentral is "Flavo-1 RNA". It matches the Rfam family "Flavo-1 RNA". The record is from Rfam by way of RNAcentral. Lineage: Bacteria; Pseudomonadati; Bacteroidota; Flavobacteriia; Flavobacteriales; Flavobacteriaceae.